Long non-coding RNA from Bubalus bubalis (water buffalo), 1060 nucleotides. RefSeq lists it as uncharacterized. The record is from RefSeq and is a predicted model, not a curated record. The transcript has 2 exons. NCBI's taxonomy places the organism in Eukaryota, Metazoa, Chordata, Mammalia, Artiodactyla, Bovidae.
CUUCCUUUAUGUUCUGGAAAUGACCAGGGAAGACUCUUGUGUAAUCCUCUCAGAAUCUUCCAUUCUUCCACUGACUGAGGAAAGACUCCAUGGGCACUUGCCAGAGGAAAGUGGAUUGUGUUUCAGGCUUGCUCUGAGGCACAGGUUUCUCCUUCCACCUACCCCUCCCCAGUCAUCCAGCUCACCCUGGAGCUCUCUCACUAGCUCACCUUUCAUGUUAGAGUAGCAUAACAAGGAAUUGUUACACAGAAGGACAAAAACCUGUGGAUGGAAAGGCUGCCGAAGCAGAAGAACAGAAGGUGAGAGACUCAGUGGGCAGCAGCCUCCUUUUACCCUCAUUUCUCUCUGUUUCCCUGGGACUGUGAUAAACAGACCUUUCUGAAAAUUCCCUAUUACCUUAAGUUAUCAAAACUACAACCUCCCUCUUUUGUUUACAUUAAUGAUAGCACAAUAGGCAUUUGGUUCUCUAUUUCAAUUUUUUUUCAUUUAAUGAUGUACUUUGAAUGUCAUUGCAUAUCACCUGUCAUCUUCACUAUCAUUCUGAUUUUUUUUUUUUCAGGAAAGUUGCCGAUCUCCGUUUCAUUUAGUUGUUUUUCUGAGGUUUUAUCUUGUUCCUUUAUCUGGGACAUGACUUUCUGCUUUUUCAUCCUGAUUAACUUUCUGUAAUGUGGGUUUUGUUUUAGCUUCUUUGAGACUAUGAUUCUUCUUACUGCUGCUGUCUGCCCUCUGAUGGAGGAGGCUGAGGCUCGAGUAAGCUUCCUGAUGGGAAGGACUGAAAGGGAAAAACUAACUUGCUCUGGUGGGCAGGGCCUCAGUAAAGUUUUAAUCCAAUUAUCUACUGAUGGGUGGGGCUGCACUCCCUCCCAGGUUAUUGUUUGGCCUGAGGCGACCCAGCCCUGGGGUCUGCAGGCUCUAUGGCCAGGUUAAGGGCAACCACCAAGAAGGACCUUCCUGGACUAUUGCUGCCAGUGCCCCUGCCCCUGUGGUGAGCCCCUGCCGACCCACACCUCCUCAAGAGACCCUCCAACACUAGCAGGUAGUUUUAGUUGAGCCUCCUGUG